AGAGUUUGAUCCUGGCUCAGGAUGAACGCUGGCGGCGUGCUUAACACAUGCAAGUCGAGCGAGAUUUUAUAAAAUUACUUUUCGAAGGAAGUUUUAUAGAUAAAGCGGCGGACGGGUGAGUAACGCGUAGGCAACCUACCUUAUACAAAGGGAUAGCCUCGGGAAACUGGGAUUAAUACCUUAUAAUACUUUGGGAUCGCAUGAUCCUAAAGUCAAAGAUUUAUCGGUAUAAGAUGGGCCUGCGUCUGAUUAGCUAGUUGGUGGGGUAACGGCCUACCAAGGCAACGAUCAGUAGCCGACCUGAGAGGGUAAUCGGCCACAUUGGAACUGAGACACGGUCCAGACUCCUACGGGAGGCAGCAGUGGGGAAUAUUGCACAAUGGGCGAAAGCCUGAUGCAGCAACGCCGCGUGAGCGAUGAAGGCCUUCGGGUCGUAAAGCUCUGUCGUGAGAUGGGAAAGAAUGACGGUACAAUAAGAGGAAGCCACGGCUAACUACGUGCCAGCAGCCGCGGUAAUACGUAGGUGGCAAACGUUGUCCGGAAUUACUGGGCGUAAAGGGCGAGUAGGUGGUUUGCUAAGUCAAAAGUGAAAGGCUACGGCUUAACCGUAGUAAGCCUUAGGAACUGUAAGUCUUGAGUGCAGGAGAGGAAAGCGGAAUUCCUAGUGUAGCGGUGAAAUGCGUAGAUAUUAGGAGGAACACCAGUGGCGAAGGCGACUUCCUGGCUUGUAACUGACACUGAGGCGCGAAAGCGUGGGGAGCAAACAGGAUUAGAUACCCUGGUAGUCCACGCCGUAAACGAUGAGUGCUAGGUGUAGAGGGUAUCGACCCCUUCUGUCGCAGCUAACGCAAUAAGUAUCCCACCUGGGGAGUACGGCCGCAAGGUUGAAACUCAAAGGAAUUGACGGGGGCCCGCACAAGCGGUGGAGCAUGUGGUUUAAUUCGACGCAACGCGAAGAACCUUACCAGGGCUUGACAUCCUACGAAUCCUUAGGAAACUAGGGAGUGCCCUUCGGGGGAACAUCUAGACAGGUGGUGCAUGGUUGUCGUCAGCUCGUGUCGUGAGAUGUUGGGUUAAGUCCCGCAACGAGCGCAACCCUUGUCAUUAGUUGCUACGCAAGAGCACUCUAAUGAAACUGCCGUUGACAAAACGGAGGAAGGUGGGGAUGACGUCAAAUCAUCAUGCCCCUUAUGACCUGGGCAACACACGUACUACAAUGGCCGAUAACAACGGGAAGCAAUACAGCGAUGUGGAGCCAAUCCCAAAAAUCGGUCUCAGUUCGGAUUGCAGGCUGCAACUCGCCUGCAUGAAGCCGAAAUCGCUAGUAAUCGCAGGUCAGCAUACUGCGGUGAAUACGUUCCCGGGCCUUGUACACACC
Molecule: ribosomal RNA, 1378 nt
Filed under: uncultured bacterium
Lineage: Bacteria
Description: 16S ribosomal RNA
Rfam family: Bacterial small subunit ribosomal RNA
Source: RNAcentral